GAUGAACGCUGGCGGCGUGCCUAAUACAUGCAAGUCGAGCGAACGGACGAGAAGCUUGCUUCUCUGAUGUUAGCGGCGGACGGGUGAGUAACACGUGGAUAACCUACCUAUAAGACUGGGAUAACUUCGGGAAACCGGAGCUAAUACCGGAUAAUAUUUUGAACCGCAUGGUUCAAAAGUGAAAGACGGUUUUGCUGUCACUUAUAGAUGGAUCCGCGCUGCAUUAGCUAGUUGGUAAGGUAACGGCUUACCAAGGCAACGAUGCAUAGCCGACCUGAGAGGGUGAUCGGCCACACUGGAACUGAGACACGGUCCAGACUCCUACGGGAGGCAGCAGUAGGGAAUCUUCCGCAAUGGGCGAAAGCCUGACGGAGCAACGCCGCGUGAGUGAUGAAGGUCUUCGGAUCGUAAAACUCUGUUAUUAGGGAAGAACAAAUGUGUAAGUAACUGUGCACGUCUUGACGGUACCUAAUCAGAAAGCCACGGCUAACUACGUG
RNAcentral lists this ribosomal RNA (497 nucleotides) under uncultured bacterium. Its description in RNAcentral is "partial 16S ribosomal RNA". It matches the Rfam family "Bacterial small subunit ribosomal RNA", at positions 28 to 507 of the family's 1533-position model. The record is from RNAcentral.